This 218-nucleotide ribosomal RNA is filed under the name uncultured bacterium. RNAcentral describes it as "partial 16S ribosomal RNA". It matches the Rfam family "Bacterial small subunit ribosomal RNA", at positions 1272 to 1500 of the family's 1533-position model. The record is from RNAcentral.
UCUCAAAAACCGGUCCCAGUUCGGAUUGUAGGCUGCAACUCGCCUACAUGAAGUCGGAGUUGCUAGUAAUCGCGGAUCAGAAUGCCGCGGUGAAUGCGUUCCCGGGUCUUGUACACACCGCCCGUCACACCAUGGAAGUUGGGGGCGCCCGAAGUUGCCUAAGAAAUAAGGUACCUAAGGCGAAACCAAUGACUGGGGUGAAGUCGUAACAAGGUAAC